UUGCUCUUCUUGGAUGAGUUGCGAACGGGUGAGUAACGCGUAGGUAACCUGCCUUGUAGCGGGGGAUAACUAUUGGAAACGAUAGCUAAUACCGCAUAACAAUGGAUGACACAUGUCAUUUAUUUGAAAGGGGCAAUUGCUCCACUACAAGAUGGACCUGCGUUGUAUUAGCUAGUAGGUGAGGUAAUGGCUCACCUAGGCGACGAUACAUAGCCGGCCUGAGAGGGCGGACGGCCACAUUGGGACUGAGACACGGCCCAAACUCC
Molecule: ribosomal RNA, 266 nt
Filed under: uncultured Lactobacillales bacterium
Lineage: Bacteria; Bacillati; Bacillota; Bacilli; Lactobacillales
Description: partial 16S ribosomal RNA
Rfam family: Bacterial small subunit ribosomal RNA
Source: RNAcentral